GAUAUCAAUAAGCGGAGGAAAAGAAACUAACAAGGAUUCCCCUAGUAACUGCGAGUGAAGCGGGAAAAGCUCAAAUUUAAAAUCUGGUGGUCUUUGGCCAUCCGAGUUGUAAUUUAGAGAAGUGUCUUUCGCGUCGGACCGUGCACAAGUCUCCUGGAAUGGAGCGUCAUAGAGGGUGAGAAUCCCGUCUUUGGCAUGGACUCCUGAUGCUUUUGUAAGGCGCUCUCAAAGAGUCGAGUUGUUUGGGAAUGCAGCUCAAAAUGGGUGGUGAACUCCAUCUAAAGCUAAAUAUUGGCGAGAGACCGAUAGCGAACAAGUACCGUGAGGGAAAGAUGAAAAGCACUUUGGAAAGAGAGUGAAACAGUACGUGAAAUUGUUGAAAGGGAAACACUUGAAGUCAGUCGCGUUGACCGAGACUCAGCCUUGCCUCGGCUUGGUGUACUUCUCGAUUGACGGGCCAGCAUCAAUUUUGUCCUUCGGAUAAUGGCAGGGGAAAGGUGGCACCCUUAUGGGUGUGUUAUAGUCUUCUGUCGCAUGCGAGGGGUGGGAUUGAGGAACUCAGCACGCGCCUUCGGGUGUCGGGGCUUCGGCUCACGUUACGUGCUUAGGAUGUUGGCGUAAUGGCUUUAAAUGACCCGUCUUGAAACACGGACCAAGGAGUCUAACAUGCCCGCGAGUGUUCGGGUGGAAAACCCGUACGCGUAAUGAAAGUGAAAGUUGGGACCUCUGUCGUGGAGGGCACCGACGCCCGGACCAGACCUUCUGUGACGGAUCUGCGGUAGAGCGUGCAUGUUGGGACCCGAAAGAUGGUGAACUAUGCCUGAAUAGGGUGAAGCCAGAGGAAACUCUGGUGGAGGCUCGUAGCGAUUCUGACGUGCAAAUCGAUCGUCAAAUUUGGGUAUAGGGGCGAAAGACUAAUCGAACCAUCUAGUAGCUGGUCU
Molecule: ribosomal RNA, 941 nt
Filed under: Lactifluus sp. 'sulcatipes'
Lineage: Eukaryota; Fungi; Basidiomycota; Agaricomycetes; Russulales; Russulaceae
Description: eukaryotic LSU rRNA
Rfam family: Eukaryotic large subunit ribosomal RNA
Source: RNAcentral